RNA transcript from Callithrix jacchus (white-tufted-ear marmoset), 3880 nucleotides. It is a transcript of the gene named pyridine nucleotide-disulphide oxidoreductase domain 2, with no coding region annotated. NCBI's taxonomy places the organism in Eukaryota, Metazoa, Chordata, Mammalia, Primates, Cebidae. The record is from RefSeq and is a predicted model, not a curated record.
UGGUGGCUGUGGAGCCCAGGCUCUGAUGUUUGUCAAAGCUUUCGUGGUGUGCCCUGGAUUGAGAACCAACACCCGAGCAGCCCCUCUCUUCCAACAGAGAAGCUCCUGUCCCAGAACGAACUCAAGGACAAGAGACCCUCAGAGCCCUAAGACUAGGAGCAUUUGCUCCUCUGAGGCCAGGAGGCUGGUGCUGGUCCAGAGAGGGCGGUGUGGCAGAAAUCAGCGUCCAGUGCAGCCCAGGAGCAGAUGCCUGCGUGCUGUGCCCGCUGGAGCCACACCUUCUGUGAUUUUGGUCUUGAGCCAAAAUUUGCACAGACUCGUCUCUCCCUUGCAGGGAACAGCCUUGGGGAGGCACUGGGGGAGCUCAAACCACUCACUGGGCCAAACCCUGAGAAAGUGGCAGUGAGGAAGUGUCCCCUGAGGUGACUGGAUCUGUGUUCCUCCCUAACAUCGUCAUCUGAUGGAUGGAAAUGAAACACGUGGAUUGUGGAAAACAGAAAAACAUAAAGGAAAAAACCCUAAGCCUCUAAGCCCACCACUGUUCAGAACCCCUGCUUUUGUCACCUACUAUUUUCCCUUAGUUUUUAGCAGCAGCUUGAUGUGGUAUAUGUCUGGUUUAACCAGUCGCCCUGAUCUUUUUUAUAAUCAAUAACAUGGGCGUGGAGAUCUUGAAUCAGAUCUUACAGUUGCCCCCAUGUAGGUUGGCUGUCCACGCAUGUGGAGGGGUCCCCUUCUUAGGUCAUCUCCACAUACUCCCCCAGUUCUGAGAUUCAUUACCCAUAGCAGGUUUCCGUCACACGCAAUGUCAGAUCAGGGAAGGGACUCUCCAUGCCGAGGGGCUUUCCCUCCUAGGGAAAUGGUCUGCUGAGUAAUGGGCAGAGAACAAAGGGGCUCCUAAUUCAAGGCAGGCCUAAGGGAGGGUCAGAAAGAACUUUAGCUGGAGGUUUUUACAGAUGUGAUCUCUAAUCCUUGAGGAUUCUUGGAAAAUAGGCAAGAUGCCAAAAGAAGAGAAAUGGCCAGGCCCUCCAAAGAAAAAAGCAAACCCAGAGAAUUAAGGACAGUGAACUUGCCCCUGAGCCCUGGCGAGGUUCUGCAGCAGCCCGUUAAGGGAUGUGUUUGAGCGCCAGUGCUCCUCAGCGACAGAUACAGCUGCCUCUGCAGUGCCUGAAGGCCCCGAUGUGGUGACCUAGGCCCUCCUGUGGAUAUAGAGGCAUCACCACUCUGCACUGUCAGACUCUGCAUGGAGUCAGAACAGAGACUGACCGGAGCACUUCCCAUCCCAGGCAUUUCAGUUCUUAUUGAGAAGUGAGGCACACAGGGGAAGAGAGGGCCUUUGGGGCUCUACUCUGGCUCUGGCUCUGCCACUCACUCCCUAAUCCAGCAGCCUCAGCACCCUCAUCUGUAAAAUGGAGAGUUUUGCCUGCAGGGUUUAGCACAGUGCCAGCCUGACGUGGGAACCCCAGUGGAUGAUCAGUUGUCAUUACUCUCCUGCAUCCUGGAGGUGACUGGCCUGGUUAACAGGCCACCCCUCCCGGAAGGCCCAGUACAGCCACACAGCAGCAGGAGGCUGGCCCAAGGCCAAGAAUCCUGGGAUGGGGGAAGGAGGGAGGAGGGGGAAGGCCAAGCUGCUGCAGCUCCUCCUCUUCCUGCUUCCUCCCUGCCCCACCCCCCUGCCUAGGGCAGUGCAAAGGCCAAUCGCUAGCAAACUCCCUGCCUAGCAAGGCCCAGCCUGGGGCAGAAAUGGCUGCAAGUGGCCGAGGACUCUGCAAGGCUGUGGCCGCCUCUCCCUUCCCUGCUUGGAGAGGAGCUCACUCGGAAGCCCGGGGAGGGCUAAAGUCUGAGUAUGAUGCGGUGGUGAUAGGAGCAGGACACAACGGACUGGUGGCUGCAGCGUACCUGCAGAGACUGGGGGUGAACACUGCCGUCUUUGAGACACGCCAUGUGAUCGGAGGUGCAGCUGUCACUGAGGAGAUCAUCCCAGAGUUUAAGUUCUCCCGUGCAUCCUACCUGCUCAGCCUGCUGAGGCCACAGAUUUACACUGACCUGGAGCUGAAGAAACAUGGGCUGAGGCUUCAUCUUCGAAAUCCUCACUCCUUCACCCCCAUGCUGGAAGAGGGUGCAGGCGGCAAGGUGCCCAGGUCCCUUCUGCUGGGCACAGACAUGGCAGAAAACCAGAAGCAGAUCGCCCAGUUCUCCCAGAAGGAUGCCCAGGCCUUUCCCAGAUACGAGGAGUUCAUGCACUGCCUUGCAUUAGCCAUUGACCCUCUGCUGGAUGUGGCCCCCGUGGACAUGGCAGCCUUCCAGCGUGGCUCCCUGCUGCAAAGGAUCAGGUCGCUCUCCACCCUCAAGCCCCUGCUGAAGGCAGGCCGCAUCCUGGGAGCCCAGCUUCCCCGGUAUUACGAGGUCCUCACAGCUCCCAUUACCAAGAUGCUGGAUCAGUGGUUUGAGUCCGAGCCUCUAAAAGCCACUCUAGCCACAGAUGCUGUGAUUGGAGCCAUGACAAGUCCCCACACUCCAGGGAGUGGGUAUGUGCUGCUGCAUCAUGUGAUGGGGGGCCUGGAGGGGACACCAGGGGCCUGGGGCUAUGUCCAGGGGGGCAUGGGUGCCCUCUCUGAUGCCAUCGCAAUCUCAGCCACCACACAUGGAGCAAGUAUCUUCACUGAAAAGACAGUGGUGAAGGUGCAGGUGAACAGCGAAGGCCGUGUGCAAGGAGUCGUGCUGGAAGAUGGCACAGAGGUGAGAAGCAGAGCGGUGCUGUCCAGCACAUCUCCGCAGAUCACCUUCCUGAAGCUGGCGCCACAGGAGUGGCUUCCUGAGGAGUUCGUGGAGAGAAUCUCUCAGCUGGACACCCGGUCUCCUGUCACCAAGAUCAAUGUGGCCGUAGACAGGCUGCCCAGCUUCCUGGCAGCCCCCAAUGCUCCCGGAGGCCAGCCGCUGCCCCAUCACCAGUGCUCCAUCCACCUGAACUGUGAAGACACCCUCCUUCUGCAUCAGGCCUUUGAAGAUGCCAUGGACGGGCUGCCUUCCCACAGGCCUAUGAUUGAGCUCUGCAUCCCUUCCUCGCUGGACCCCACCCUGGCUCCUGCUGGCUGCCACGUAGUCUCCCUCUUCACUCAGUACACGCCCUACACGCUGGCUGGAGGCAAGGCCUGGGACGAGCAGGAGAGAAACGCUUAUGCAGACAGAGUGUUUGAUUGUAUCGAGGCCUAUGCCCCUGGCUUCAAGGACUCUGUGGUUGGCAGAGACGUCCUCACACCCCCAGAUUUGGAGAGAAUCUUUGGGCUUCCUGGAGGGAACAUAUUCCACUGUGCCAUGACCCUGGACCAGCUCUACUUUGCCCGCCCUGUACCCCUGCACUCCGGCUACCGCUGCCCUCUCCAGGGCCUGUAUCUCUGUGGAAGUGGCGCUCAUCCUGGGCCCAUGGAGAAGGUGUAGGUCUGACCCAGGCUGCUGUGUGUAAAGGGGAUGAUGAUGCCUCCCAUAGAGGGAUGUGUGGAUUGUAUACACAUACACACAGCUCGCCAAAAUAUGCACCCUGUGUGAUCCAGCACUCACCCACUCCCAGCAUCAUCAUGCAGGAACCUCAGUUCCUGGCUGGCUGUGAGGAGGCAGGUGGCCCUGUUGAAAACCCCAAGUGGCAAGUAACUGCAGCAGCCUCCAACUGACCCAAGUUCUCAGACCUACAAAGAACAGAUGCUGCCAACACCACAUGAGCAAGAAAAUGGGUGUUUCCCCAGUUGAGCCUCCAGAUGAGAACACAGCCUGGCCGGCACCGUGAUUACAGCCUUGUGACACCCUGAGCAGGGGGUCCAGCUAAGCUGUGCCUGGAUUCCUGAACAAUGGAAACUGUGAGAUAAUAAAUAUGUGUUGUUCAAAGCCA